AACGAACGCUGGCGGCAGGCUUAACACAUGCAAGUCGAACGCCCCGCAAGGGGAGUGGCAGACGGGUGAGUAACGCGUGGGAAUCUACCCAGUUCUACGGAAUAACCCAGGGAAACUUGGACUAAUACCGUAUACGCCCUACGGGGGAAAGAUUUAUCGGAAUUGGAUGAGCCCGCGUUGGAUUAGCUAGUUGGUGGGGU
This 200-nucleotide ribosomal RNA is filed under the name uncultured bacterium. Its description in RNAcentral is "partial 16S ribosomal RNA". It matches the Rfam family "Bacterial small subunit ribosomal RNA", at positions 29 to 258 of the family's 1533-position model. The record is from RNAcentral.